AUGGCUGUAGCAAUGAAACAGCAUGUGGCACAUAAGAAACCACCAAAACAAUACAGGAUCUUUGAGAGUGUUUUGAAAAUGGAGCUGAUCAUCCUUGCAAAUCCAACAGACAAAAAACAAAUCAAAACAGCAAUGGAUAGAAACUGAAAUGAAUUUGGAAGCUUGGUUUUGGUUUGAACAGACACUGUCGCUAUUCCUAUUGCCGACGAUAAACAGAAUCCAAUAAUCAUUUCUUUCCUCUCCUCCACCAUCUCCGCCACCACUUCCAAGCUCCGCCUCACUCCACCGUACGUCUGUCUAAACCAAACCGCCACAGUUAAAGCACACUGACCCAACAUUCUUC
RNAcentral lists this long non-coding RNA (343 nucleotides) under Cucumis sativus (cucumber). Its description in RNAcentral is "long non-coding RNA (CSAT_LNC001307)". Lineage: Eukaryota; Viridiplantae; Streptophyta; Magnoliopsida; Cucurbitales; Cucurbitaceae. The record is from RNAcentral.